This 279-nucleotide ribosomal RNA is filed under the name uncultured Staphylococcus sp. Its description in RNAcentral is "partial 16S ribosomal RNA". It matches the Rfam family "Bacterial small subunit ribosomal RNA", at positions 83 to 355 of the family's 1533-position model. Lineage: Bacteria; Bacillati; Bacillota; Bacilli; Caryophanales; Staphylococcaceae. The record is from RNAcentral.
CCUUUGACGUUAGCGGCGGACGGGUGAGUAACACGCGGGUAACCUACCUAUAAGACUGGGAUAACUUCGGGAAACCGGAGCUAAUACCGGAUAAUAUUUCGAACCGCAUGGUUCGAUAGUGAAAGGUGGUUUUGCUAUCACUUAUAGAUGGACCUGCGCCGUAUUAGCUAGUUGGUAAGGUAACGGCUUACCAAGGCGACGAUACGUAGCCGACCUGAGAGGGUGAUCGGCCACACUGGAACUGAGACACGGUCCAGACUCCUACGGGAGGCAGCAGUC